GGGUCGUUGUCUCCACGCGGCGCUGUAAACGCCGUGCCGUUUAUCAACAUGUGGAGUGGUUGCGGCGCGAGAUUCGAUUCCUCGACGACCCACCA
RNAcentral lists this transfer RNA (95 nucleotides) under Alphaproteobacteria bacterium. RNAcentral's name for it is "tRNA-OTHER". Lineage: Bacteria; Pseudomonadati; Pseudomonadota; Alphaproteobacteria. The record is from RNAcentral.